UGGCUCUGGCAUCGAUGAAGAACGCAGCGAAAUGCGAUAAGUAAUGCGAAUUGCAGAAUUCCGUGAGUCAUCGAAUUUUUGAACGCACAUUGCGCCCCCUGGUAUUCCGGAGGGCAUGUCUGUUCGAGCGUCAUUGCACCGAUCAAGCCCGGCUUGUGGUUGGGUUUUCCGUUCGCGGUUGACCCCAAAGAGAGCAGCGGCGCCUGGAAGUCCGUGAUGCAGCGAGCUUUGUGCACGCAUUUCGGCGCUUUUGGGUCCGUCCAACAUUUCUAGGUUGACCUCGGAUCAGAUAGGAUUACCCGCUGA
RNAcentral lists this unclassified non-coding RNA (306 nucleotides) under uncultured fungus. Its description in RNAcentral is "partial contains 5.8S ribosomal RNA and internal transcribed spacer 2". The stretch from base 1 to 133 matches the Rfam family "5.8S ribosomal RNA", at positions 22 to 154 of the family's 154-position model. The record is from RNAcentral. Lineage: Eukaryota; Fungi.